UUCAUGUGGCUUUCAAUUGAACUGCUUUCAAGUGAACUGCUUUUAUUUUUCCAUCUUCCUAACCUUUUCCUCUUGGUUCCUUCUUCUUUCGUUUCAGAACCAUCAGACUCAGAGUUUUCUAUACUGGCUGUGGGGUUCCUGAAAUGACAUCACUAGAGGCAGAGCUGCAGCUGCUGACAUUAGAGGUACAUUCAUUCAGAGAAUAAUCCAAUACUGAAGUCUCCCCUGGAUCUGAUUUAGGAGCACAUGUUUCCAAUUUCUCACAAUUUGGAUCUAAGCUUUGUUUACCAAAAGUGGUAAGCUGUUCAGCAUUGGUGGAAUUAUUCUUCUCUGGAAGUACAUCUGUCUUCCCACUUUCAGUUACUUCAUGGGCAAUGCCAAGCAAGUCACUUGCUGCUUUUUCAUCCUGCAUUGAAAAAAGCUUGGUGUCAUUAUACAUUAUAUUGACUAUACUGCUUACUUCACAUCCUACCUUUCCUCGAAGCUCAAGGCAGUAUUAUGUGCCAAUUCUAGGCAUCUAUACAGCCAGAUCUCUUUAACUUCAGUAAAGUUACUACAGCAUGCACCUUCAGGUCAUAUCCUUGUCUAACCGUUAUCGGAAAGAAAGGAAGGAAGGAAAAGUCUUAUCACUAAAUCACUGGAUACUUUUCCUGUUAUUUUACCAGAAUUGCAAGCAUUACAAUUUACGUUUUGCAAUUCCAGAAUUUUUCUCCAGAUAAGAACAUGCAGGAAAAUCAAGCAAAACCUGUGCAAGGGGGGGGGGGGUUAAGUUGACAAUUCCAAUUAUUCACUAAAACAGUUUGCCACCUUCAAAAAUCUAGUCAUUUGUUGCAACUAGAAACUGGUAACAGUCCUUCAAGUAUAGACUAUGCACUUUCUAUAAUGGAAGGCCUGAAGCCAGAAGCAACCCAUACAUCCCAAGGCACCAUGGCAGGGUCCAGAUAGGCUUAUGCCUUCACUCUAAAUUCAAAAAGGAAGUCAAAGCCAUCCAAUGUACUUCAAUAAUGUUUCAGAUGUCAAUAUAAACCUUUUUGUGGCUGUUACUUUGACACCUGGAUGUGUCAGCAGCUACAUGUGCUUUACUCCAGCAAUAUGCUGGAUUUUUUUAAAAUGUCAUUACUAUCAAUUCCCAACAACUGUCAACAUAUGAAGAUACCUGGGGUAUUGUUUUGUUCUCUUCCCUCUCAGAUUCUUCCACAGAGGCUGGUUUAUCCCUAAAAUAAAGGCAACUUACUUAGAUGCACAGAAAACUCAAACAUUUUACAUUUCAAAGCACUGUUGGUCCCUAAUACUUACGGAUAAUCUUCCUGGCUCUGUGAAUAUUGGGAAAACAAGGUAGUAUCUUGGGAUGCAUCAAGAUUAUUGUACAUUGUAGGAAUAUCAAUCCUGCAAAAAAUAGAACUGGUCAACAUUCCAAUAAAAUGAGUAGUCCUAAUACAUUUGAUACAGAAUGGCAUUUUAAGCUAGCAGCUGUUCAAAUUUGAAGGCUUGCCCUAGGGCCUGUGUAGGAACCAUUCUACCCAGGGGUUGCACAGUGAGCUCCCUUAUUGGUUACUGAACUAACUGGGCAGAGGAAGUGUGACCAACUUGGAAGCUCUUCUUCUGCCAGCUCUUGGCAAUGAAGGAGACGAGCUACCUAGAAAGUUUCAGACCUGGGUGGCACACAGAAAAGGUGCAUUUCCUGACUCUUAAGUUACAAACCUUUUAGUUCUUAGCACUUCUUUUUGGUGCUCUGUCAACACUCUCUCUUUUGUUUCUGGAGGAAUAAUCACGAAGUCAACAGUAUUUUCCUCUUCCAGGAGCAAGUUUUUUCGAUUUGUCUUUGUCAGCGAGUUUUCUAGUUUCAUCUGCUGCAUGAGAAAAAGUAAAAAUAAAGAGUGUAGAUAAUUUGCUGCUUAUGAACAGUAACAGUGCAUAUCAGACAAUGCUGUAAACCUUGCACUGUGGCUGAGUGAAAAUGGCUUCUGCUCACACUUGGGGAGACAAAUGGAUUCUGCCUAUAAUCAAUUGCAAAUUCCACCGCAAUCUUCCAGUGAGCCCCAUGAUUCAGCUCUCCUUAUCAACAAGAAAAAUAAUUGAUGCUUAGAAUAGAAAAAAACUGGGUAUUAUUGCUGGAGAUGUAAGUGCCAAUAAGAAACAAUUUCAGUUAACAAUUCCAUUUAAUGAACUGAUGUCUUACCUUUGCAGGUGUUACGGGGGAAUUAAUACUUUUCGGCUUUAGUUCAUUGGUCUGUGCCAGCAGGGAGUCUCUUUUCCCACUAGGAUUUACUUCUAUUCCACUUAUCUUUGCAUCCCACUGGGAAUUCUCUGUUUGCUGUAACAAAAUUAAAAUUUAAUAGGAGUAAUAUAACACCUUAAUUGAGUUCUUACUGUAGUUCUUACUAUUAAACUACAAUUUAAUAAGAGCAAUGUAAUAUUACCACAGAAUGGCUGGGCUAACCCAGUCAGAUGGGUGGCAUAUAAAUAAAUUUAUUAUUAUUAUUUCUUAAUAGUAAUAACUACAGUAAGAACUCAAUUAAGUGAACCAUCAGUUGCUUUUUAAUGAAAAAUAACCCAAAGUGACUUACAAAAAUAGUACAUAACUGUCGAACAACAUUAAACUAAAACAAAGUGAAAGCUAAAAACACAUUCAUAGAAGGGCAGGACUAAGAAAGCCCAUCACUGGAUGAGGCCAAAGAUAAUUAAAGGCCAAAUUUGGUGGAAAAGAAAUUUUAUUGCUUGCCAAGUUGAGAGCAAUUCAUAAAUGGGGACCCACCACGGAGGGGGCCCGUUAUCAUACCGACACCCUCUGCAUCUCCCUUGGAGGGACACACAGAGAAUGAAGAUGAAUGAAGGGUCAGUCAGUUCAUGUGGGAAGAAGAGGUCCUAUUAAGAUUGUCAGAAGUGCUGUCAACUAAGUUUCUCCUCAGAUUUAUCUGCAACUACCUUUCAUAAAAAAAACCAGCACACUCCUACUUUAGCAAUUGUAAGCUGAAUGAAGGUGUGCAUUUUGACCUAUUUACUCUGAAAAAUAAAAAGGUUUACUACAACCAAUACCAAAUCCUAAUACUUACAGAAUCAGAGUAUGUCCCGUUACAUUCUCCCACUAUGUCCGUGUUUUCAAAGCCAGGCAACGAGAGUAAAUUUUUUUGCUUGGCUUGGCACAAAACACAUCUGCAGGGAAGCAAUCAUGGAAGUUGCAUUUAAAAACUUUGAAUCUGAUAUUCAGACUUUGAACUAUUAGUUUUUAGCACAAUGUUUACACUUGAAAACUUAUAAGCACAAGAAUGCAGCUUUGGGUUGCUAUCUACAAUGCAUUUUCAAGAUGAUGCAGCUUUGUAUUCUAUAUUCAAACCCAAACAUUAUGCAAAACUUUCACCUGUUUUGAUUAUCUGUAAAUGGUCUAUACUAGUUUAUUGUGUGAAACACCAAGCAAAAUAUGAAAUUCUGGAGGACAAACAAUACUAUUACUUAUACCAAAAUCUUUUGCUUCCAUUGUACAAGUUACUUCAUUAAAGAGUGCAUUGAAUCCCAAAUCGGAAGUAAUUAGCAGUCAGUCAACAUCAACCUUUGCCCAACCAAAAAGAACCACUAGAAGGUACCUGGUAUUUAUAAGCUUGACCAGAGGAGUGAUAGAAAAAAGGAGAAAGCAGUUCUAGUCCAAAAGUUCCAUUCAAAGGUGCUGUUGUCCUUACAUUAAAUUUUGUACAGGAAGGCCUACACAAGAGGCAGGGUUAAGCCACCCUUUUCUCUACCCAUUCUUCUGCUCAGAUUUGCAGCGGCUAAAGAGUUCUUCUGGUUUUUAAUUAAAGGAACUGGCAAAGUGACACAACUCCAAGUCAGGACAGCUAUGAUAUAGUUGCUUUCAUAUGCAUAUACCGUUUUUCAAAUUCCCCCAACAAAAUGCUUCCAAUAGAAGUGCUUCAUGUUUAGCAGACUGGGAAAUGGAUAAGAAUGCUUUUAAGACUGGCUGGGAGCUGGGGUGGGGGCUCUACACAAGUAAAUGAGUUUGUCCACAAGUCUAUAGCUACAAAAUUCUUACUUUAAUUCUUCUGGGUAUGUCAGCACUACAGCUUUACCAAAUGUUGCAUUCCAGAACUGAGCUGCUUGACUACGUAGCUGUUUAUUCUUGUGCAAAAGCAUUAUGCACAGCAAUGGAGAAAGCUCUUGCAGCAGCUCACUGUCAAAGGAUCCAGCAUAGAAGGACUGAAAACAACUAAUACUUUCCGCCAAUAACUUUUCAAACUGGAAAAUAGAAUAAAAAAAUGUAUCAAAAAUGUUAUAACUGCAAAAGGUGUUAACAGCACAUAAUGUCUACUUGGUUACAAUGUACAACUUAAAGCAAGAAGGCCAAUAAUAUAAGGAAGUUUUUGGAACGCUGUUUACAGACCCAGAGCCCUAUCCUCUAGGCUAGAUGGCAUAGGACAGGGGUCUCUAAACUUACCCGACCGGAGGGUGGGGGAGCGCGAGUGAGCGAGCGCACACCCAUAUGCGUGCACGACUUCCAGGUGGGAGGAGCGUCGGGAAUAGCUUGUGCGCAUGAGCGUCCUACGACCCAGAAGUGCGCCGGAAAUGACACUAGCGCAUGUGCGCAAGCUAUUUCCGCCACACAUCCGACGCGGAAGUGGGCAGCUGCACCGCGCCGCUAAGAGCAAACGGCAGAGUCGUCGUGGAGUAAAAGAGGCCUUCGGGCCAUAUCCGGCCCACGGGCCUUAGUCUGGGGCCCCUGGCAUAGGAGAUCAUGGCAAAAUCCUACACUAGACCCAAAUAAUGCACAAUGAAGCAAUUAUUGCACUGAUUAGGCAAUUCCUUGCCGGGGUUAGUCAUGCAACACCCACAUAAUUAUGAGGAAGGCAAGUCUGUGGUAGUACAACAGAGAUGCUGGUACAACACACACACACACACACACACACUAUACACUAUGUGCAAGGGCAGCUCCUUUUAUGGAAUUAUGGUACUAGGCUGCAUGGUAUUAAAAAACGUUGUAUUCAAGGGACAGAAAAGCUUCCCACCACCCCCAGUCCAAAUUACCUUGUUGUUGAGCCCAUUGGUCACUUUAGACGCAUUAGUGGACCUGAUGGGGGAAAGGAGAUAACUGAUGAGUAUUGAUAUAAGGAAUAACCUCUGCUUCUUUAUUUCCUGGUUACAGCAUUCAUAUCCCCUUAGCCAAAAAAAGCUCUGGGAGUAGCUUACCAAAAAAAAAAAAACUAAAAAAAAUUUAAGACUAUGCCUGCCCUCAGGCUUUCAAUUAGUCUUAAAAAUA
Zootoca vivipara (common lizard) is the source of this 5242-nucleotide non-coding RNA. NCBI's taxonomy places the organism in Eukaryota, Metazoa, Chordata, Lepidosauria, Squamata, Lacertidae. The record is from RefSeq and is a predicted model, not a curated record.